Molecule: transfer RNA, 67 nt
Filed under: Blaptica dubia (Argentinian wood cockroach)
Lineage: Eukaryota; Metazoa; Arthropoda; Insecta; Blattodea; Blaberidae
Description: tRNA-Val
Source: RNAcentral
CAUGCUAAUCUUUAGGGGAAUAUUCGUUUACAUUGAAUAAAUUAUCGUGCAACUCGAUAUAGCUUGA